GACAGAGGGUGCAAACGUUGUUCGGAAUUACUGGGCGUAAAGCGCGUGUAGGCUGCUCUGCAAGUCGGAUGUGAAAGCCCUGGGCUCAACCUAGGAAGUGCAUUCGAAACUGCAGAGCUGGAGUCCUGGAGAGGAAGGCGGAAUUCUCGGUGUAGCGGUGAAAUGCGUAGAUAUCUGGAGGAACACCGGUGGCGAAGGCGGCAUCCUGGACCGACACUGACGCUGAGGCGCGAAAGCUAGGGUAGCAAACGGG
RNAcentral lists this ribosomal RNA (253 nucleotides) under uncultured bacterium. Its description in RNAcentral is "partial 16S ribosomal RNA". It matches the Rfam family "Bacterial small subunit ribosomal RNA", at positions 524 to 776 of the family's 1533-position model. The record is from RNAcentral.